Molecule: ribosomal RNA, 252 nt
Filed under: uncultured bacterium
Lineage: Bacteria
Description: partial 16S ribosomal RNA
Rfam family: Bacterial small subunit ribosomal RNA
Source: RNAcentral
ACGUAGGGUGCAAGCGUUGUCCGGAUUUAUUGGGCGUAAAGAGCUCGUAGGCGGUUAGUCGCGUCGGAUGUGAAAUCCUAGAGCUUAACUCUGGGCCUGCAUUCGAUACGGGCUGACUCGAGUAUUGUAGGGGAGACUGGAACUCCUGGUGUAGCGGUGAAAUGCGCAGAUAUCAGGAAGAACACCGGUGGCGAAGGCGGGUCUCUGGGCAAUUACUGACGCUGAGGAGCGAAAGCGUGGGGAGCAAACAGG